RNAcentral lists this ribosomal RNA (497 nucleotides) under uncultured bacterium. Its description in RNAcentral is "partial 16S ribosomal RNA". It matches the Rfam family "Bacterial small subunit ribosomal RNA", at positions 28 to 507 of the family's 1533-position model. The record is from RNAcentral.
GAUGAACGCUGGCGGCGUGCCUAAUACAUGCAAGUCGAGCGAACGGACGAGAAGCUUGCUUCUCUGAUGUUAGCGGCGGACGGGUGAGUAACACGUGGAUAACCUACCUAUAAGACUGGGAUAACUUCGGGAAACCGGAGCUAAUACCGUAUAAUAUUUUGAGCCGCAUGGUUCAAAAGUGAAAGACGGUCUUGCUGUCACUUAUAGAUGGAUCCGCGCUGCAUUAGCUAGUUGGUAAGGUAACGGCUUACCAAGGCAACGAUGCAUAGCCGACCUGAGAGGGUGAUCGGCCACACUGGAACUGAGACACGGUCCAGACUCCUACGGGAGGCAGCAGUAGGGAAUCUUCCGCAAUGGGCGAAAGCCUGACGGAGCAACGCCGCGUGAGUGAUGAAGGUCUUCGGAUCGUAAAACUCUGUUAUUAGGGAAGAACAUAUGUGUAAGUAACUGUGCACAUCUUGACGGUACCUAAUCAGAAAGCCACGGCUAACUACGUG